Molecule: ribosomal RNA, 237 nt
Filed under: Triticum aestivum (bread wheat)
Lineage: Eukaryota; Viridiplantae; Streptophyta; Magnoliopsida; Poales; Poaceae
Description: partial small subunit ribosomal RNA
Source: RNAcentral
AUGCAUUGGUACACUUGGUGGAAGCUUUGUUACCCAAAAAAGGAAGGAGGGAUGGGUUUUAGGGACCUCUACUCCUUUAAUCUUACUAUGCUAUCAAAACAAUGUUGGCGUCUCAUAACCAAUCUAGAGUCUCUUUGUGCAAGGGUACUAAAAGAGAAAUAUUUUCCGAAUUGUAGUCUGCUCCAAGCUACAUUGAAAAAUGGAUACUCCUUCACUUGGGAAAGCAUCAUGAAAUGA